UACGUAGGGUGCGAGCGUUAAUCGGAAUUACUGGGCGUAAAGCGUGCGCAGGCGGCGCGUUAAGACAGGUGUGAAAGCCCCGAGCUUAACUUGGGAAUUGCGCUUGUGACUGGCGAGCUGGAGUGUGGCAGAGGGAGGUGGAAUUCCACGUGUAGCAGUGAAAUGCGUAGAGAUGUGGAGGAACACCGAUGGCGAAGGCAGCCUCCUGGGCCAGCACUGACGCUCAUGCACGAAAGCGUGGGGAGCGAAACAA
RNAcentral lists this ribosomal RNA (253 nucleotides) under uncultured bacterium. RNAcentral describes it as "partial 16S ribosomal RNA". It matches the Rfam family "Bacterial small subunit ribosomal RNA", at positions 524 to 776 of the family's 1533-position model. The record is from RNAcentral.